Molecule: transfer RNA, 75 nt
Filed under: Bacillota bacterium
Lineage: Bacteria; Bacillati; Bacillota
Also listed under: 1 other name
Description: tRNA-Gln
Rfam family: tRNA
About the family: Transfer RNA (tRNA) molecules are approximately 80 nucleotides in length. Their secondary structure includes four short double-helical elements and three loops (D, anti-codon, and T loops).
Source: RNAcentral
UGGGGAGUGGCCAAGCGGUAAGGCAGUGGACUUUGGAUCCACUAUUCGGGGGUUCGAAUCCUCCCUCCCCAGCCA